UACGGAAGGCAGCAGUGGGGAAUAUUGCACAAUGGGCGCAAGCCUGAUGCAGCCAUGCCGCGUGUAUGAAGAAGGCCUUCGGGUUGUAAAGUACUUUCAGUCGUGAGGAAGGUGUUAAGGUUAAUAACCUUAGCAAUUGACGUUAGCGACAGAAGAAGCACCGGCUAACUCCGUGCCAGCAGCCGCGGUAAUACGGAGGGUGCGAGCGUUAAUCGGAAUUACUGGGCGUAAAGGGCACGCAGGCGGUUAAUUAAGUUGGAUGUGAAAUCCCGGGCUUAACCUGGGAAUGGCAUUCAAGACUGGUUAGCUAGAGUCUUGUAGAGGGGGUAGAAUUCCAUGUGUAGCGGUGAAAUGCGUAGAGAUGUGGAGGAAUACCGGUGGCGAAGGCGGCCCCUGGACAAAGACUGACGCUCAUGUGCGAAAGCGUGGGGAGCGAAACAGGGAUUAGAUACC
This 453-nucleotide ribosomal RNA is filed under the name uncultured bacterium. Its description in RNAcentral is "bacterial SSU rRNA". It matches the Rfam family "Bacterial small subunit ribosomal RNA", at positions 340 to 786 of the family's 1533-position model. The record is from RNAcentral.